GGUAUUGAUUGGUGCUUGCAUCAUGAUUUACAUUUGAGUUGAGUGGCGAACUGGUGAGUAACACGUGGGAAACCUGCCCAGAAGCGGGGGAUAACACCUGGAAACAGAUGCUAAUACCGCAUAACAACUUGGACCGCAUGGUCCGAGUUUGAAAGAUGGCUUCGGCUAUCACUUUUGGAUGGUCCCGCGGCGUAUUAGCUAGAUGGUGGGGUAACGGCUCACCAUGGCAAUGAUACGUAGCCGACCUGAGAGGGUAAUCGGCCACAUUGGGACUGAGACACGGCCCAAACUCCUACGGGAGGCAGCAGUAGGGAAUCUUCCACAAUGGACGAAAGUCUGAUGGAGCAACGCCGCGUGAGUGAAGAAGGGUUUCGGCUCGUAAAACUCUGUUGUUAAAGAAGAACAUAUCUGAGAGUAACUGUUCAGGUAUUGACGGUAUUUAACCAGAAAGCCACGGCUAACUACGUGCCAGCAGCCGCGGUAAUACGUAGGUGGCAAGCGUUGUCCGGAUUUAUUGGGCGUAAAGCGAGCGCAGGCGGUUUUUUAAGUCUGAUGUGAAAGCCUUCGGCUCAACCGAAGAAGUGCAUCGGAAACUGGGAAACUUGAGUGCAGAAGAGGACAGUGGAACUCCAUGUGUAGCGGUGAAAUGCGUAGAUAUAUGGAAGAACACCAGUGGCGAAAGCGGCUGUCUGGUCUGUAACUGACGCUGAGGCUCGAAAGUAUGGGUAGCAACAGGAUUAGAUACCCUGGUAGUCAUACCGUAACGAUGAAUGCUAGUGUUGGAGGGUUUCGCCCUCAGUGCUGCAGCUACGCAUAAGCAUCCGCCUGGGGAGUACG
Molecule: ribosomal RNA, 837 nt
Filed under: Lactiplantibacillus plantarum
Lineage: Bacteria; Bacillati; Bacillota; Bacilli; Lactobacillales; Lactobacillaceae
Description: bacterial SSU rRNA
Rfam family: Bacterial small subunit ribosomal RNA
Source: RNAcentral